Molecule: long non-coding RNA, 598 nt
Organism: Homo sapiens (human)
Lineage: Eukaryota; Metazoa; Chordata; Mammalia; Primates; Hominidae
Product: long intergenic non-protein coding RNA 2610
Source: Ensembl
GCAUUUGACACUCGACAUCCUCGUGCUUCUUAAAGCACUUGCCCAACGGUGAGCAACGGCCUCCAACGGUGCCCGAGGGACUCGCGCUGCCCGUUAAGCAGCUUUGCGGUGGCGGAGGCUGGGCUGCCGUCUCUCCGACAUCCCGGGACGGAGGAAGAGAUGAAGGCUCUGCAGCCCCCGCCGCCCGAUUUACGCUUGAGAAAGCGAAGGCGAGAGAGGUCGUCCAGCCCCUGGGGGCCCAGCCCUAGAGAGCGGGGCGCGGGCUGCGGGGCCCGGCGGCCUGGACGGCGGAGCGUUGAAAGCUCCCCCAGGGAUAGGAAGUGCAGCCGAAAUCAACGAUUGAGGGUCUGAGCACCUCCCUCAUGCAGACAGAGCCCCGGCUCCCAUGUUCACCAUGCUGAGAAAGACCUGCGGGGGACAGCAGGAGGACAGCCGGGGAAUGGGCCCGCACUUGCCCAGGUGAGUGCUGUGGGGAGUCAGGCCAGCCCUGUGGAGAAGGCCGCUGGAAAGGGGGAACUGAUGCUGCCAUUCCUUAUAAAAAGGGCCACCCAGUCCAUGUAGCUGAGGACCAGCACCAGGCAGGAUCUUUAAUGGGACU